UUGAAUGCUGGAUCUUCAGUUGACAUAGGAGGUUCCUGACCAAAUAUCAUCUCACAGCUCAUAUCAUCAAAAUCUGCAAAAUCAAAUGGCACAGAACUAUCAUGAAGCUGCAUUGAUGGAUGGGUUCUGUUAAUUGCAGAAUGGUCAUCUUGUUUUUCUGCGCUUAACUUCUGAUUGGCACUUGAGAAUAUGGACACAAUUCAAACUUGGGUGCUUGUGGUCAUAUCACAUGUGCUGUAGGUUACGCAUUAAUGAUUGAUUUAAUGGGAAACAGAUGAAUGCUAGUGUCUUGCAUAUGACAUGGUGGACUAGAUGGCACUAACCAUAGAACCAUUUAUGCUUAAUUCACAUUCAAGAAUUCAGCUAUUACCAUCUAUGUUCACAUAUAUGAUUUAUAUUUGUAGUAUCAAUCUCUAGGCUGGAAUUCUCACCUGAGAUUGGAUGGAUCUACAUUUGGUUUUGUGCCCUCAGUGGCUAAGCUUGGGGCCCUCCAUUUACAUGAUAAGCAUGGCCUCCACAUUCUCUAGUGCAGAUUUCGCUGUUGUGCAUACCUCGCAUGGUCCGAUUAGCCAUAUAAAAAAGAAGGUGGUGAAGGCUGCAAAAAAUUCUCUUG
This 613-nucleotide unclassified non-coding RNA is filed under the name Hevea brasiliensis (rubber tree). The record is from RNAcentral. Lineage: Eukaryota; Viridiplantae; Streptophyta; Magnoliopsida; Malpighiales; Euphorbiaceae.